CUUUAUUGGAGAGUUUGAUCCUGGCUCAGGACGAACGCUGGCGGCGUGCCUAAUACAUGCAAGUCGAGCGGACUUGAGGGAGCUUGCUCCCGAUGGUCAGCGGCGGACGGGUGAGUAACACGUGGGCAACCUGCCUGUAAGACUGGGAUAACUCCGGGAAACCGGGGCUAAUACCGGAUAAUUCAUUCCCUCACAUGAGGGAAUGCUGAAAGACGGCUUUUGCUGUCACUUACAGAUGGGCCCGCGGCGCAUUAGCUAGUUGGUGAGGUAACGGCUCACCAAGGCCACGAUGCGUAGCCGACCUGAGAGGGUGAUCGGCCACACUGGGACUGAGACACGGCCCAGACUCCUACGGGAGGCAGCAGUAGGGAAUCUUCCGCAAUGGACGAAAGUCUGACGGAGCAACGCCGCGUGAGCGAAGAAGGCCUUCGGGUCGUAAAGCUCUGUUGUCAGGGAAGAACAAGUACCGGAGUAACUG
Molecule: ribosomal RNA, 478 nt
Filed under: Mesobacillus campisalis
Lineage: Bacteria; Bacillati; Bacillota; Bacilli; Caryophanales; Bacillaceae
Description: bacterial SSU rRNA
Rfam family: Bacterial small subunit ribosomal RNA
Source: RNAcentral